AGGCACGUCAGAUGAAGGAGAAGGGAUUGAGGACAUGUAGAUAUGAUGUUUCUUAAGUUUCAUAAUGAAGGAGAAGGGCUCCCCGAUGCAAGGUUCAUUGUGAGGAUGUGAUGCUUAACAAAUGAUAUCCGUAUUUAGGUCUGAAACUUUUGUCUACAACUACAACAUUGGCACACGUGGCGGCUGCAGGACCUCCCGGCCGCUGGAGGUGGAUGGACAUGGCAGCGGUGGCCGCAGCAAGCUCCAGCUGACGGCGGCGGCUGGACACGGCAGCGGUGGCUGCAGGGUCUCCUGUGUGCGACCUCACCAGGUCGUUGUUGCGGAUCCCCUCUCCCCCUUGACCUGAACACUGAUGGCUGGAUGAGGCAUAGAAGAGCGGGAGGGGCGCACCUAGGCAGAAGGAGGAAGGGUGGCUGAGCGGAGCAGUGCUUGUUGAGAGUCAAUCACCACUGAUGCAGCCAGGGUUUCAAAUGUCAAGUGGUUUUGUGACUACUAUGUUCUUGUUAUGGAUGUGCUCUCUUGCAACAGAAAAUUGUGGAUCAAAACUGUUAUGAUGCUUCCUAAUCAAAUGGUAUGCUGAAGAACUGUUAUGAUGCAUGCGGAAGUAUGCCUUGAUUGCUUUUCGUGAAUCCAUUGUAUGGAUUGCAAAGUAAGUUUUAAUGUCAUUUUGGUAUCAAAUGUUGAGGUUAUUUAAGGUAUUCAGCACAAAAAGAAGUUACUUCUAUGAUGUUAGACCAGGGAAAUUUAUGGUUUCUUUCAGUUUGGUCAUUGUUGCCUUGCAAAAUUCACAAUGGAUUAUGCGAACGGAUCAUAUCAUAAGUUCAUGACAGCUGCAUUUACUUCCAAGUUCAUGCAUGCACUACUGUAUUUUUUCUCCGUUUAGCUGGAUCAAAUUUGAUGCACUUCAUUUUCAGAGUUUCAGAUUGUUUUUCGAUAUGCUUCCCCAAAUAGGAAUUAUGCUUACAAUGAUGGACUCUGUGAGCUGUUGUUAUUUAUACAGGUUAUUUACAGGGUUUUGUUUCCAGUUAAGGAAUAAGCGGUGGGUGGUAGUGUCAGUUAGGGAACCAUGCCGCCAUUCCGAGACAUGCUACAAGACUGGCAGAAAGUGCAGGAAAAGGCAUGCACUUCUUUGUUCCAAUAAAGGUUGGAUAAAUUUUGAGCAGUCUGUCCAAUUCCAGUUUUCUUGAGAUAUCCAGCAGUACUUGCUUUAUACUAUGAGCAGAGAGAAAAUUAUGUAUACAUGUAAAAAUAUCGGUUUGCUGCAAAUGGUAAUUUCAGCAGAGGGCGAGAAUGGCGAUGGCAUGCUUUUGUGUGAGGUGCAGAGAAGUGCCACAGUCGAGAAAUCAGAGAAGAAUAUAUCACAGAACUAUGCA
Molecule: non-coding RNA, 1373 nt
Organism: Lolium perenne
Lineage: Eukaryota; Viridiplantae; Streptophyta; Magnoliopsida; Poales; Poaceae
Source: RefSeq, a predicted model, not a curated record